RNAcentral lists this ribosomal RNA (445 nucleotides) under uncultured bacterium. RNAcentral's name for it is "SSU rRNA". It matches the Rfam family "Bacterial small subunit ribosomal RNA", at positions 26 to 518 of the family's 1533-position model. The record is from RNAcentral.
AGAGCGAACGCUGGCGGCAGGCCUAACACAUGCAAGUCGAGCGCCGUAGCAAUACGGAGCGGCAGACGGGAGAGUAACACGUGGGAACGUACCUUUCAGUUCGGAACAACCCAGGGAAACUUGGGCUAAUACCGGAUACGCCCUUACGGGGAAAGAUUUAUCGCUGAAAGAUCGGCCCGCGUCUGAUUAGCUAGUUGGUGGGGUAACGGCCCACCAAGGCUACGAUCAGUAGCUGGUCUGAGAGGAUGAUCAGCCUCACUGGGACUGAGACACGGCCCAGACUCCUACGGGAGGCAGCAGUGGGGAAUAUUGGACAAUGGGCGCAAGCCUGAUCCAGCCAUGCCGCGUGGAUGAUGAAGGCCCUAGGGUUGUAAAGUCCUUUCGGCGGGGAAGAUAAUGACGGUACCGCAGAAGAAGCCCCGGCUAACUUCGUGCCAGCAGCCGC